RNAcentral lists this long non-coding RNA (248 nucleotides) under Olea europaea (common olive). RNAcentral's name for it is "long non-coding RNA (OEUR_LNC015467)". The record is from RNAcentral. Lineage: Eukaryota; Viridiplantae; Streptophyta; Magnoliopsida; Lamiales; Oleaceae.
AAGCCUAGAACCAGUACCUCUGAAAAAGUAAAUUAUGAAGUAAAAGGUGAGUCAAAAAGCAAAUAAAUGACUCUAAAAAAUCAAGGGUUUAUUAUUUUUCAUUCAAAGUACAGUGGAAACAGUGUAGAAAUUAUUCGCAAAUCAAUCGAUAUUCAAGUCAAUCCGGCCUAAAAUUGUGAAAUUCUGAAUUCUGAAAAUACAACACAAGAAUCCAUAUUCGUCCUGUAACAGAAAAUAAAAGAAUCCCC